Crotalus tigris (Tiger rattlesnake) is the source of this 1352-nucleotide long non-coding RNA. RefSeq lists it as uncharacterized. The record is from RefSeq and is a predicted model, not a curated record. NCBI's taxonomy places the organism in Eukaryota, Metazoa, Chordata, Lepidosauria, Squamata, Viperidae. The transcript is spliced from 4 exons.
AAGAUAGAGCUUACUUAGGAACAGAUAAAACUGCUUUUCUGAGCUCUGUCAUUGGAUAUGGAUGGCUCUCAAUUUUGCUUAAAUCAGGCGUGUGCACAGGGUUUUCCAGGUUAGAGAAUACACUUGGCCAGAAGCAAGCUCCUAAAUAAUUAGUAUCAUAAAGCUAAAUUGGAGUUCAUAUUAUUUAAAUUGAAUUAAAAUAGUAUGUUCACUGUCAUGGAUUUAAUAUUUCUCCUAUCACAUGACAACAACAACUGGGAGGUUUCUAGAAAAUGCAUCCAGGGCUUUGGGACACUGCUUGCUACCCCACAAGCCCAGGAAUGUGAAUCUUUAUUUAACGUGGUUAACUGAAUUGAUUUUUCUGAGUUGGUACUGAAUUUGAAGUCAUUUGAAACAGGUGGCUUUUGUGCAACAGGUUCUGCCACUAGUAAAUAACCAAGUUUCACCAUUUAUUUUGCAGAAGUAUAUCCCAUUAAAUCUAACCAAACUUAGAUGGUGUGAAUACAUCUGCUAGUGCAUUAUUAAACCUGAUUAAGCAUAUGAUACAAAUUCAAUCCCUGCCUGCCAGCACCGCUCCAGAAUUUGAAAAUAACAAAAGGGGUUUUUUUUCCCCACCAGGAGAUGCGUUAGAUAAAACCUGGACUUUUCGGCAUACAUCGUGGUGGAGCUCUGCCACUUAAUUGCAGCUAAAGUCGGAGUCUUGUAUGGGGAAGAUGUUCCCUCUUGUCGUGGGAGAGAAAUGACAGAUGAUAGUCAACAUUCUAAGCGGAAAUUUGGAUGUGUUGAAACAUAAGUGGCACCAAGGACUGGAUAACGACAGCUAUGUUCAACCCUCACUGACAUAUGAGAUCUUUCCAACAAGAUUGGACCAUGAAUCUUUGCUCUCUCUCUCUCUCUUUUUUUUUUUUUUUGCAUGCAUAAAUGCCCAACAACUGCUUGUUCACCCUAAGGGCUAAAGAAAAAAUGUAUGUAGAUUCCUCAGCUUAAAGUUGAUGUGGUACUCAGAUAGAAAAAGAGAGACAGAGACAAAGGUCUUCAACCGAAACUCACUGCUGCAAGGAAUUCAAUAGAGCAGCGAUGGAUAGGAGGUCUUUACUCACCAUCUUGAGUUUCUCCUCGAAGAAGAAAGUCUGUCAAGACGGUGUUGAGGGAAACUCUGGAGCAUAAAUAGAACAACACGCUGCUAGAUCUGCAGAAAUCUGAACAACAUGAACUGAAGUUUCUCCAAUAAAAAAUUAUAUGCUUGAAAAAGGAAACCAAGGUUGCGUCAAGGGCUCACCUAGGAUGGUGCUUGUAGACUGAUCCAUCAACCCCCACUGUAAUCUUCAGCGUCUCCUCGUUUCUGCUGUCCC